This is a long non-coding RNA of Bubalus bubalis (water buffalo), 1832 nucleotides long. RefSeq lists it as uncharacterized. Lineage: Eukaryota; Metazoa; Chordata; Mammalia; Artiodactyla; Bovidae. The record is from RefSeq and is a predicted model, not a curated record. The transcript has 2 exons.
ACGUGAGUUUGAGUGAACUCCGGGAGUUGGUGAUGGACAGGGAGGCCUGGCGUGCUGCGAUUCAUGGGGCCGCAAAGAGUCGGACACGACUGAGCGAUUGAACUGAACUGAUCAAUGUAAUGCUUUUCUUUGUUGCUUGGGGCUUAUCUAUGUGUGUUUGGUUUUGUUUUUUAACCUAGUUAGAGAAACAUCUCAGGUUCUCCCUUGCUAAUCUGGUGUGCUGAGCAGGAGCCUGUUCUUGGAAAAGUACAGACUUUGGGUUUAAACAGAUCUGAAUUUGAAUCCUGACACCUCCACUUUCUACCUGUAUUACCCGGGACAUCUAAGUUAAUCCUUUAUUCAUUGAUUCAUGUAUUUGUGUAUUCAUUCUGAUUCAGAACAUUUCUGGAAUACCCUCACAAUGAUGGGGUUACAAACAUAAAUGAAUGUGACACCUGCCCAGGAUAACUUGCCCUUGGUCUACCACAGUAGCCUACAAACUUUGCUGACCACUUAUACCAUCAGUAAAACAUUCUUGAGCAGAAAACUUUCAUAUGUGUACAUUUUAAUAUAUUGUGUAUGUGACUUCAUUGUUAUGCACAUAAAAAAGAUAUUUGAUUUUUAAAUGUAUUAUAUCACAUACCACCUGGGUACAUAUACCCAUUUUAGGAGCUGCUGGCCUAGUGGUAAACUUAUCUAAACUUUGCUUUUCUCAUCAUUAAAAUUGUGAUGAUGAACUCUGUUUCAUGGUGUUGUUGCUCAUUCAUUCACUUACUUAAUUUCUCUGAACAUUCUCCAGUGCUAGAUUCUGUCUGAGGGGUCGGAGCUUUAAGUGUCAGCUGUGUUUUUUUACUGUCUAAGGAGAAACUUCCAUUGGGUGGGGGAUACUAUUAUACUUACUUAUGUUUUAAUUGAUAUUCAAUAUAGUUGGCCUUCUGUAUCUGCAGGUUCCGUAUCUGUGUGUUCAAUCAACAGCAGAUUGAAGAUAUUAAAAAAAAAAAUUCACAGAAAGUUUCAAAAAGCAAAACUUGAAUUUUCUAUGUGUUAGCAACUAUUUACAUAGCAUUUACAUUGUAAUAAGUAUUAUAAACAUGGGGUAAAAUUAUUUUAAGGCCAGAUAAGAAAAACUAAAUAUAUAAUUCUCUCUCUGCCAGUUUGAUCCAUUGCCUUGCUCCCCUUUAGCAUGCAUUGUGAGUCUUCGUUAUACAUUGACUAGAUCCUGUUAGAAGACAUGGGAAUGCCUACUCAGCCAAAAAAAGCAAUUUCCUCUUGGCACCAGCAAGCUCAACUUCCAGGGUGCCACCCAUAAGCAACUGAGCAUGCAUGGUAGGUAAAUACUGUUGAAGAACUGGAUCGCUUCCACUGGCAAUUGGUCAGAGACAUCCAUUGUAGGCACUUCUUACAUUGUUAUAAACAUUUGCUGAUAAUAGAUGUUUAGUAGUGUCUGUCCACAAAGGAAGGUUUUAUAGUUCGUUAUAUUAGAGUCAAUACGUCUAACUUCGUUUAUAUCCAAAGCCCUAACUGCACAAAUGUGUUGGCAAUGGAACCCAUAAAUAACACUCAUGGCCAUCUUGAAAAUCUAUAUAAAGAAAAAUUUCCUGAUGGAACACUCCUCUCCAAUCCAAUAAUUAAAAAAAUUUUAUUUAGAAAAUUAACCAAAUUCUCUUCCAUUUGCAGAUUAAAAUCACGAGUAAGAAUCAAAACUUUCCAAACAAAUUAUGAUCCUAGGAGACUUCUGAUUUUAAGAUGGCAGAGUAUAGAGACUGCUGUCCCAUUGUCAUCUGAAAAAAUACAAGAAAUGCAAACUCAGUCUUUGAUGCAACUAGAGGACAUCUGAGGCCUUAAAUCAUACA